GUACUGGUGACAGGAGGGCAGACCAGUGAGUGUGAUAAGCGUUUUUGUCCUGGGGAGUGGAAAAGAUCCUGUAGGAAUGGAGUCCAGUAUCCAAGAGAUGAGACAGUUGUGAUGUGGAGCUAGGAAACAGAAGACCAGGUGAGCUUGUAUGAAGAGUUGGACAGCACCAGGCCCUGACAUGAUUCACGCCUACUGGCUGAAGAAGCUCAUUCAGUAAGCAUCUGGCAGCAUAAAUGAACCAGCUGCUAACAAACAAGAGGCAGUCCUGAUCCCCAAAAAUCCCCAACGAGGAAAUAACCUCCCUCAGUACCACAAGGAAGCACCUUAUGAUGCAUGGAGGAUUUCAACCCAAAUCCAAUACCCUGAGACUUCACGCUUAGUGGAAAGGAGCCCAAGGACUAGAGAGUCUCAGAACAUGUCCAGGAUGAGCCAACAAACAUCCAUGAGUACGUCAGGGACACACCCCUUAGGCUCAUCAAGAAUGACCGACCUAAGAUCCUGUGGGACUUCCAGAGGACAUAGUAGUUGUGGACUAGCAGAGGAAGGUGGCCGUAGUGAUAGAUGUAGCUAUACCAAGUGAUAGCUACAUCAGGAAGAAGGAACAUGAGAAGCUGGAGAAAUAUCAAGGGCUGAGAGAAGAACUUGAGAAGAUGUGGAAAGUAGUCCAUAUUUGGUCCAUAUUAACAUGACAGCAUCACACAGUUGUUGCAGAGUUGUGAGCUGCACAUGUACAAUGUGACUCCUGUUCCAUCACAUCCCAAAGGUGCUCUAUUGGACUGAGAUGUGGUGACUGUGGAGGUCAUUUGAGACGUUGUCAUUCAGGAUGGAUCUCUGCUUCCAUGCUGUUUACACCAAGACUCAU
Oreochromis niloticus (Nile tilapia) is the source of this 862-nucleotide long non-coding RNA. RefSeq lists it as uncharacterized. The transcript has 2 exons. The record is from RefSeq and is a predicted model, not a curated record. NCBI's taxonomy places the organism in Eukaryota, Metazoa, Chordata, Actinopteri, Cichliformes, Cichlidae.